Helianthus annuus (common sunflower) is the source of this 1794-nucleotide RNA transcript. RefSeq lists it as uncharacterized. The transcript is spliced from 10 exons. Lineage: Eukaryota; Viridiplantae; Streptophyta; Magnoliopsida; Asterales; Asteraceae. The record is from RefSeq and is a predicted model, not a curated record.
UAUUAGGGUUAUGAUGGAAUUAUAACUCUGCUACCCCAAAUUAACCUCUUGUAUCUGCACUUCGCUCCACCCUUAUCUGAUCGAUCAAAAUUAAGCCUUCAAUAUCAGGCUUGUAUUUUAAAAUUGUUUAUUUGAACGUGUUGGAGGAGGUAUGGAAUCGAUAAUGGCUAGGGCACUGGAAUACACUCUCAAAUACUGGUUCAAAUCCUUCACCAGAGAUCAGUUCAAGUUGCAAGGACGCACUGUUCAGCUCUCCAAUUUAGAUAUAAGUGGUGAUGUAUUGCACACAAGCCUUGGAUUGCCGCCAGCUUUGACUGUAAGCAUGGCGAAAUCUGGAAAGUUAGAGAUUGUGGUGUGUAAUUCAAAUCAUGCCGAUUGUUGUGCAAAUUGAUAAGCUUGCCUUGGUGUUAGAGGAGAAUGAUAAUGUGGAUUCGCAUAGGAGCACAAGCAGUGCACAAGCACCUUCUAGUUCAUCAAAAAGCAGUGGUUAUGGAUUUGCUGAGAAGCUGAUGGAAUGACAUUACAAAUACAAACUGUCAAUCUGUUACUUAAAACUCAUGGUGGUGGUAGACAUCUUCGAGGACUAACUUGGUAUUUGGCGCGCGCCUUUUGCGCUUUUGACAACUAUCUCGGACCUUGUGAACAGUACGUCAAUUAGCCAAAAUUUGGAGGUUUUUUUACGGUUAUGUCAUUAUGCGUUUUUGGUGCAGUAGAGAGAGGGGACCAGAGAAUAGGUUAUAGAGAGACAAAAGAAAAAUAGAGAGCGUGAACGGAAGGGGAUCCGGCCACCCAGUUUCGGUGACCAUCUCCGUCUUCUGCUCUCUGUUCUAGCUGUGAUGGGUCUGAUACCAAAGGUUAACGUUGACGAUGAACUCAACGGAAGAGACCAUGAUGUUAGCGACGUUUCGGUAGUGCCUAGGGUUCCAGGAGAACUCCGACGAGUCAGAUCUCCCGUUUUGGUGUUGCUUGGCAAACACUGAGGUGUACCGACCUUGUGUGGUUUAGGUCUUUAGCUGGUGGUUGGUGAUGUUGGGUUUUUGUUAGUCGGCGAGUAAAGCAGCUAGAGGUGGUUCCGACAAGUGGGAUUGUGACAAUUGAUGGGUUUUUGCAGCCGUAACAUUACCGGCAGUUGAGACGACUGUCGGUGGCAGAAACCCUACUCACCAUCUCCGGCGAUUAAGGAGUACUAGAGUUGUAACGUAUGUGCAGUUCGUUGAUGUCCGAUUUGCUGGUGAUGGUUAUGAUAAUGAUAUCAAACUUGCUGAGUGGGAUGUGAAGAGAGUAGGAAGUAACACAAUAAUGUGAAGACGAUGAUUUGAAAGAUGCUUUCUCUAUGUAGUUGAGGAGGGUGAAAGUCAAGGUGAAGCUAAAUACAUUGUGGAAAGUGAGGUCUAGUUCUCUGCAGGUGUAAAGCAAUGGGGUCUUUGCUCUCAUGUGACCAUCAAGACAAAAUUCAUAGCUUUUGAUUGAAAAGUUGAACUUAGUUAUCAAGAAGCUCGUUAAGGAAAAUGAUGAAGAAAAAGAAAGGCUAAAUGGAAUUAUUGUCGGGUGGUUAGCUGAAAAAGAAAAAGAUAAGGUGGAUAAAAAUGCUAUGCUCGAUACGAUGUCACAAAUUGAAGCUAUGUUAACAAGUACAAUUUGAAGAUAGGCUACAAACACUUAGUUUUGAAUGUUUCGAUGUUUAUCGUAUUAAGAUUUUUUAGUUAUUUGAUGUUUUAGCUGGUAUUUCUAUUAGAAUGUUUUAUAUGCUUUUGAUACACAUAUGUUUUAUAUAAUUUUGGGUUUCAGUGAUCU